CCUACGGGAGGCAGCAGUGGGGAAUCUUGCACAAUGGAGGAAACUCUGAUGCAGCGAUGCCGCGUGAGUGAAGAAGGCCUUUGGGUUGUAAAGCUCUUUUGUAGGGGAAGAUAAUGACUGUACCCUAAGAAUAAGGUCCGGCUAACUUCGUGCCAGCAGCCGCGGUAAUACGAAGGGACCUAGCGUAGUUCGGAAUUACUGGGCGUAAAGCGCGCGUAGGCCGUUGAGUUAGUUAAUUGUGAAAUCCCAAAGCUUAACUUUGGAACUGCAAUUAAAACUGCUCGACUAGAGUUUGAUAGAGGAAAGCGGAAUACAUAGUGUAGAGGUGAAAUUCGUAGAUAUUAUGUAGAACACCAGUUGCGAAGGCGGCUUUCUGGAUCAACACUGACGCUGAGGCGCGAAAGUAUGGGUAGCAAAGAGGAUUAGAUACCCUCGUAGUCCAUACCAUAAACGAUGAUUGCUAGAUGUUGGAAAUUUAUUUUCAGUAUCGCAGCUAACGCAUUAAGCAAUCCGCCUGGGGAGUACGACCGCAAGGUUAAAACUUAAAAUGAAAUUGACGG
Molecule: ribosomal RNA, 560 nt
Filed under: uncultured bacterium
Lineage: Bacteria
Description: bacterial SSU rRNA
Rfam family: Bacterial small subunit ribosomal RNA
Source: RNAcentral